This 693-nucleotide ribosomal RNA is filed under the name uncultured Lachnospiraceae bacterium. RNAcentral describes it as "bacterial SSU rRNA". It matches the Rfam family "Bacterial small subunit ribosomal RNA", at positions 45 to 740 of the family's 1533-position model. Lineage: Bacteria; Bacillati; Bacillota; Clostridia; Lachnospirales; Lachnospiraceae. The record is from RNAcentral.
UGCCUAACACAUGCAAGUCGAACGAAGCAAUUAAAGGAAGUUUUCGGAUGGAAUUUGAUUGACUGAGUGGCGGACGGGUGAGUAACGCGUGGAUAACCUGCCUCACACUGGGGGAUAACAGUUAGAAAUGACUGCUAAUACCGCAUAAGCGCACAGUACCGCAUGGUACGGUGUGAAAAACUCCGGUGGUGUGAGAUGGAUCCGCGUCUGAUUAGCCAGUUGGCGGGGUAACGGCCCACCAAAGCGACGAUCAGUAGCCGACCUGAGAGGGUGACCGGCCACAUUGGGACUGAGACACGGCCCAAACUCCUACGGGAGGCAGCAGUGGGGAAUAUUGCACAAUGGGCGAAAGCCUGAUGCAGCGACGCCGCGUGAGUGAAGAAGUAUUUCGGUAUGUAAAGCUCUAUCAGCAGGGAAGAAAAUGACGGUACCUGACUAAGAAGCCCCGGCUAACUACGUGCCAGCAGCCGCGGUAAUACGUAGGGGGCAAGCGUUAUCCGGAUUUACUGGGUGUAAAGGGAGCGUAGACGGCGAAGCAAGUCUGAAGUGAAAACCCAGGGCUCAACCCUGGGACUGCUUUGGAAACUGUUUUGCUAGAGUGUCGGAGAGGUAAGUGGAAUUCCUAGUGUAGCGGUGAAAUGCGUAGAUAUUAGGAGGAACACCAGUGGCGAAGGCGGCUUACUGGACGAUAAC